CCUUGGCAUUGGCAUGGUGUUAGCACAGAUAUUGUUAUUUGCUGUACUCUGUUAUUUUCCAGUCCAGCUGGCUGAUUAUCUUCCUCUCCCACUUACACUGCAGCAGUGGUUCCUGGUUCAUGUUUUUUACAUGAGUCUUCGAACCUCUUGAAAAACAAUGAGAUUUGCAAUAUUAGAGAUUGAGCUAUGUUAAUGCUGCAUUUUCAGGCGUGGGCACGCACCUAUAAAUCAACAAUUACAAGCCUUUUACCAAAUCUCCCAACAGCAAAAAAGGACUGGGAGUAGGUGCGUGGCAGCCAGGACUCGGUUCCGUAUUUGCAUGGAGUUUGCAGAGAAGACUUGGUUCCAUUGAAAGGCUCGAACGGAGAGACCACCAUGAUGACUGCUUCCAGCCAAAACUCAUCUCUUCAGCAUUUGCAGGAUAAUCAUCUUAGACUUCGCAUAUUGCCAGUACCAUCCCCACCUCUACCAUCCCCAUCUCCCUACCUUUAGGCCUCUAAACUAUAAUAAUGCCCCUCUUGGUGUCCUGCACAGUAAAAGUGGGUAGGUUAGUAGGUCCCUCAUUAAGUAGGUAUAUUCCCCUACAGUAGGCAGGUAGUACUUCCAUUAGGGUAAUUAUGUCCCAGAGUAUAUAGUAGUUGUCUUAUUAGGUUGUUCCUCCAUAGGCAGGUAUGUCAUCGGGUAGGUAGCCCCCCUCAACAGGUAAAUACAUCCUCAGGUAAGUAGGUAAGUAGGUUGGUAGAUCAAUUCCUCCAACUGUAGAUAAAUAUGUUGGUAGGUAUGCUGCUAGCUAGGUAGAUAGCCAGAUAGAUAGGUAGGUAGCCAGGUAGGUAGAUAGCCAAUAAGGUAAUUAGUUAGGUAGGUAGCCAGGUACUAGGUAACAAGGUAGGUAUCCCAGUGGUAGGUAGACAGGUAGCCAGGUAGGUAAUAAGUUAGCUAGGUAGCCAAGAUGGUAGGUAGUCCAGUGGGUAGGUAGAUAGGUAGCCAGGUGAGUAGGUAGGUAGCCAGGUAGGUAGGUAGCUAGUCAGGUAGCCCAGUGGGUAAGUGGCUAGGUAGCCAAAUAAAAAGUUGGUCUGCCUGGAUGCAAUAUGUGCUUUCUGAUACC
Long non-coding RNA from Hyla sarda, 1105 nucleotides. RefSeq lists it as uncharacterized. The transcript is spliced from 3 exons. Lineage: Eukaryota; Metazoa; Chordata; Amphibia; Anura; Hylidae. The record is from RefSeq and is a predicted model, not a curated record.